RNAcentral lists this ribosomal RNA (253 nucleotides) under uncultured bacterium. RNAcentral's name for it is "partial 16S ribosomal RNA". It matches the Rfam family "Bacterial small subunit ribosomal RNA", at positions 524 to 776 of the family's 1533-position model. The record is from RNAcentral.
UACGGAGGAUCCAAGCGUUAUCCGGAAUCAUUGGGUUUAAAGGGUCCGUAGGUGGAUGAUUAAGUCAGAGGUGAAAGUUUGCAGCUCAACUGUAAAAUUGCCUUUGAUACUGGUUAUCUUGAAUUAUUAUGAAGUGGUUAGAAUAUGUAGUGUAGCGGUGAAAUGCAUAGAUAUUACAUAGAAUACCAAUUGCGAAGGCAGAUCACUAAUAAUAUAUUGACACUGAUGGACGAAAGCGUGGGGAGCGAACAGG